AGAGUUUGAUCAUGGCUCAGAUUGAACGCUGGCGGCAUGCCUUACACAUGCAAGUCGAACGGCAGCACGGGUGCUUGCACCUGGUGGCGAGUGGCGAACGGGUGAGUAAUAUAUCGGAACGUACCCUAGAGUGGGGGAUAACGUAGCGAAAGUUACGCUAAUACCGCAUACGAUCUACGGAUGAAAGUGGGGGAUCGCAAGACCUCAUGCUCAUGGAGCGGCCGAUAUCUGAUUAGCUAGUUGGUGGGGUAAAAGCCUACCAAGGCGACGAUCAGUAGCUGGUCUGAGAGGACGACCAGCCACACUGGAACUGAGACACGGUCCAGACUCCUACGGGAGGCAGCAGUGGGGAAUUUUGGACAAUGGGGGCAACCCUGAUCCAGCAAUGCCGCGUGAGUGAAGAAGGCCUUCGGGUCGUAAAGCUCUUUUGUCAGGGAAGAAACGGGAUUUUCUAAUACAAAGUCCUAAUGACGGUACCUGAAGAAUAAGCACCGGCUAACUACGUGCCAGCAGCCGCGGUAAUACGUAGGGUGCAAGCGUUAAUCGGAAUUACUGGGCGUAAAGCGUGCGCAGGCGGUUGUGCAAGACAGAUGUGAAAUCCCCGGGCUCAACCUGGGAAUUGCAUUUGUGACUGCACGGCUAGAGUGUGUCAGAGGGGGGUAGAAUUCCACGUGUAGCAGUGAAAUGCGUAGAGAUGUGGAGGAAUACCGAUGGCGAAGGCAGCCCCCUGGGAUAACACUGACGCUCAUGCACGAAAGCGUGGGGAGCAAACAGGAUUAGAUACCCUGGUAGUCCACGCCCUAAACGAUGUCUACUAGUUGUCGGGUCUUAAUUGACUUGGUAACGCAGCUAACGCGUGAAGUAGACCGCCUGGGGAGUACGGUCGCAAGAUUAAAACUCAAAGGAAUUGACGGGGACCCGCACAAGCGGUGGAUGAUGUGGAUUAAUUCGAUGCAACGCGAAAAACCUUACCUACCCUUGACAUGUACGGAACUUACCAGAGAUGGUUUGGUGCUCGAAAGAGAACCGUAACACAGGUGCUGCAUGGCUGUCGUCAGCUCGUGUCGUGAGAUGUUGGGUUAAGUCCCGCAACGAGCGCAACCCUUGUCAUUAGUUGCUACGAAAGGGCACUCUAAUGAGACUGCCGGUGACAAACCGGAGGAAGGUGGGGAUGACGUCAAGUCCUCAUGGCCCUUAUGGGUAGGGCUUCACACGUCAUACAAUGGUACAUACAGAGGGCCGCCAACCCGCGAGGGGGAGCUAAUCCCAGAAAGUGUAUCGUAGUCCGGAUUGUAGUCUGCAACUCGACUACAUGAAGUUGGAAUCGCUAGUAAUCGCGGAUCAGCAUGUCGCGGUGAAUACGUUCCCGGGUCUUGUACACACCGCCCGUCACACCAUGGGAGCGGGUUUCACCAGAAGUAGGUAGCCUAACCGCAAGGAGGGCGCUUACCACGGUGGGAUUCGUGACUGGGGUGAAGUCGUAACAAGGUA
RNAcentral lists this ribosomal RNA (1491 nucleotides) under metagenome. Its description in RNAcentral is "bacterial SSU rRNA". It matches the Rfam family "Bacterial small subunit ribosomal RNA". The record is from RNAcentral.